AGUAACACGUGGGUAACCUACCCAUAAGACUGGGAUAACUCCGGGAAACCGGGGCUAAUACCGGAUAAUAUUUUGAACUGCAUAGUUCGAAAUUGAAAGGCGGCUUCGGCUGUCACUUAUGGAUGGACCCGCGUCGCAUUAGCUAGUUGGUGAGGUAACGGCUCACCAAGGCGACGAUGCGUAGCCGACCUGAGAGGGUGAUCGGCCACACUGGGACUGAGACACGGCCCAGACUCCUACGGGAGGCAGCAGUAGGGAAUCUUCCGCAAUGGACGAAAGUCUGACGGAGCAACGCCGCGUGAGUGAUGAAGGCUUUCGGGUCGUAAAACUCUGUUGUUAGGGAAGAACAAGUGCUAGUUGAAUAAGCUGGCACCUUGACGGUACCUAACCAGAAAGCCACGGCUAACUACGUGCCAGCAGCCGCGGUAAUACGUAGGUGGCAAGCGUUAUCCGGAAUUAUUGGGCGUAAAGCGCGCGCAGGUGGUUUCUUAAGUCUGAUGUGAAAGCCCACGGCUCAACCGUGGAGGGUCAUUGGAAACUGGGAGACUUGAGUGCAGAAGAGGAAAGUGGAAUUCCAUGUGUAGCGGUGAAAUGCGUAGAGAUAUGGAGGAACACCAGUGGCGAAGGCGACUUUCUGGUCUGUAACUGACACUGAGGCGCGAAAG
This 665-nucleotide ribosomal RNA is filed under the name uncultured bacterium. Its description in RNAcentral is "bacterial SSU rRNA". It matches the Rfam family "Bacterial small subunit ribosomal RNA", at positions 109 to 759 of the family's 1533-position model. The record is from RNAcentral.